UGCAAAAGAAGUAGGUAGCUUAACCUUCGGGAGGGCGCUUACCACUUUGUGAUUCAUGACUGGGGUGAAGUCGUAACAAGGUAACCGUAGGGGAACCUGCGGUUGGAUCACCUCCUUA
RNAcentral lists this ribosomal RNA (118 nucleotides) under Escherichia coli. Its description in RNAcentral is "partial 16S ribosomal RNA". It matches the Rfam family "Bacterial small subunit ribosomal RNA", at positions 1416 to 1533 of the family's 1533-position model. RNAcentral also lists the same sequence under 22 other names. The record is from RNAcentral. Lineage: Bacteria; Pseudomonadati; Pseudomonadota; Gammaproteobacteria; Enterobacterales; Enterobacteriaceae.